This is an RNA transcript of Dermochelys coriacea (leatherback sea turtle), 3966 nucleotides long. It is a transcript of the gene named platelet derived growth factor subunit A, with no coding region annotated. NCBI's taxonomy places the organism in Eukaryota, Metazoa, Chordata, Testudines, Dermochelyidae. The record is from RefSeq and is a predicted model, not a curated record. The transcript has 8 exons.
UAUUUCACACUCCAGACAGCUCAAGAACCCUCCCUGGGAGUUCCGAUUCCUCGCUCCGAUCGGCAGAGCCGGUGCCGGCCCCCCGGGGAUUUAAACCUGGCCUGUCUCCCGUGCAAAGUGGGGAAGAAACUGCACCAGGCAGCCUGUGAUCUUGCAAUAUUGCUCCGAUUUAUUUUUUUUUAACCUCACCCCAGCCGGGGCGGCGGGGGAGGGAAAAGCGGGGGGCACUUUUCAGCAAGAGAAACAUUUCGAUCCCUAUAAAUAAAGAUCCAUUUACGGGGGGUGGGGGGAACGGUAGCGGAGGACCGGCGGCGGGGGGGGGGGCGAUCUUGCAAUAAAUAAAUAAUUAAAGGAACCUGCUGCUGCUGGGGUUUGCCUCCUGCCGGGGAAGGGAGGCGGGUUUGAAGCGCUCCCGCAUGUCUGGAGGGGGGCGAGCUUGUCUCAGACAGGUGAUGGGCGUUUCGGCUGCGCUCCGGAUUGACUCCUUGGGUUUCACUUUGGUCUGAUCUAAGCAAAUAUGCAGAAGUACCGGCUGGUCUAGUCCUAAAGCCAAGAGGAGCGGGCGAGAGAGCAGCAGAAGCGGAGCUCCUCUAGCCAAGGGAACAUACAAAUCCCCCAAGCAAGCCCCCCCACACCUCAACGUGGACGAAGAGCCCCGAGCCUCACGCCUCACCCGUGUCUUUCCCCGAGGGAUGGUACUGAAUCCCCCAGCCACAGGAGCCGGGCUGGAGCUCCGACACAGCACCCUUACCUUUGAUUCGUGCCCCAAGUGUGUUAGAACGCGAUGAGGACCUGGGCUUGCAUUUUGCUGAUAGGUUUUUGCUACCUUCCCUUUGCGUUUCCUGAGGAAGCUGAAAUCCCCCAGGAGCUAAUCGAGAGACUGGCUCACAGCGAAAUCCACAGCAUCCGUGAUUUGCAGCGCCUCCUGGAGAUUGAUUCCGUAGGAUAUGAUGAUGUUUCAGAAACAAACUUGAGAUCUCAUAGUGUUCAUUCUGCUAAACAUGUUCAAGAGAAUCACCCUGUACCCAUUCGCAGGAAAAGAAGCAUUGAGGAAGCCAUUCCUGCUGUCUGCAAAACAAGAACUGUUAUAUACGAGAUACCGCGGAGUCAGAUUGAUCCCACGUCCGCUAAUUUCCUGAUAUGGCCACCGUGUGUGGAGGUGAAACGUUGUACUGGCUGUUGCAACACCAGCAGCGUGAAAUGCCAGCCAUCACGGAUACAUCACAGAAGUGUCAAGGUGGCAAAAGUGGAGUAUGUUAGAAAAAAGCCAAAAUUAAAAGAAGUUCUGGUGAGGUUAGAAGAGCAUAUGGAAUGCACCUGCACACCAUCAAAUUCUAAUUCAGAUUAUCGAGAAGAGGAGACUGGAAGGCCUAGGGAAACAGGUAAAAAACGGAAACGAAAAAGGUUAAAACCAACAUAAAAACUACUGGAACUAUUUGCUUAUCAGAUUAACAGGUAUUUAUUGGGAGUAGUAUGAUAGAAGCAAAGAUUUUGUAAAAUUCAACUUUAAAAGUCAGCAUGUAAACUCAAUCAAAACAGCAUUUAGAACUUCUUGUCCCAGAUGUAAGGUGAAAUAAGCUAGAAAAAAAAAGAACUUCUCUCUGGGACAUGGAUGUACAUGGUUUGUUACAUUCCUGAACCUACUAUGUAUGGUGCUUUAUUGACUGUAUACUUUAUUUGUUCUCCUAUGUGAAAAAAACUGGCUGAAAAGAACACUUAAUGAGAACAAAGAGACAAUGUACAUUUGUUUAAUGUGACAUCAAAGCAAGUAUUGUAGCACUCUGUGAAACAAUAGGAAGCUUCCCUGUCCAAAAAACCCACGAAACAACAAAACAAACAAAGAAAAUAAAAAGACAGUUGAAUGAAUGGAGGAUACCAAAAGUACAAAACAAAAAACAAAAAUAAAAGAAGAAGAAGAAGAAGAAGACAAAAAUCUUAAGUGAAUAGUGGAUUUCUGUCAGAGCAGUCAACGGUGCUUUAUGUCAAGAAAUGUGCCUGCGUUCUUGAUGAAGAUGGAUGGACACAAAUAGACGUCAGGCACAAAAAAGCAGGAAUGUAUCAAAUGCCAUGCAAACACUAUAGAAACAGUACAUCCUUGCUUGGUGGUGUUUUAAAGUCUAUACAAAAAAAGAAUACCUUCUGGGGAGCCUUAAAUGGAUUUUUUUUUACACCAUAAAGUGAUUAUUAAGCUUUCUUUUUACUCUUUGCCUAGCUUUUUAUUAUCUCUUGGACUACAUUUAUCAAUAACACAUAUAGAAGACUGGUGUAACAGUAAGCAGAACACAAACAUUAUGAUAUUUCUCCUAGUGGGAUGCAAACUAAUGAGAUAUAUUAAAAUAAAAAUGGUAUACCUAUGCAUAAUUUUCUAGACGUUUCUUGGUUUAUGUCUCCCAACCUCCCCCGUAAUUUAAAGCAUUUAAAAAAACCUGAUGUGUGUAAACAAAUCAUAGGAUAUCCAUGCAAAUAUCCUUUUUUUCUUUGAGACUGAUGCCAGUUGCCUAAUAGUGAUAUUGUGUUAGCAAUUGCCAUUCUUAUCAGUAUACAAAUACUUUUAUUUCACAUGUUGGCGCUGUGUGAAAUGUACAAAUUCUUGUAUCCGCAUUGUACAAUGUUAUUGUGGCAUGGGAAAUACCUUGCUGCAAAUAGUUGAACAAAACCUAAAAUUCUUUAUUUUUGGUAAAAUGUUAUGCUUUAUGUGUAUUCAACAGAAAUAUGUGUUUUGUAAAGGUGAAGUUUGUAUUUUUAUCUAAAAUUAACAGUUUUAUAUACCUAAGAAAGCCUGCUAUGUUUUCUUGAACAAAAAAAAAAAAAAAAGAAAAGAAAAGAAAAGAAAAAAAAAAGCAUUUUGUGGUCAUAUUUUUGUAGUUGAGUAGCCCAAAUAACUUCAAAAUAUAUUUUAACUAUAGCAGGGCAGAUAAAAUACUCAGGCACCAAAUCCUACAUUUUCAAAGUGCCAAGGAAUUUAAUUGUUCAGUUCUUCCAUGGACUGUAAUGGGAGCCACAUGGCUAAUUUUUGUCUGCUGCUUUGGAAAUAUAGGCCUGUGCCAUAUAUAUCAUGGCUACCCUGUUAGCCAAAAUAACUGCCCCACCCUGGUUGGUUUAGAUGAUAUGCCCCUUGUGUUACAGUAUUUUGAUUAUCACAUUGGACAUGUAAAAUAAACUACUGGGUUCUUUUCUUUAUGAAACAUCUCCAAUAAGAUGAAAGAUUUCUCUCUCCUUUGUACAUAAUGACAAGAGAGCUAGUCUUGAGGAUAAUGUGUCCACCCUGCAUUAAAAGACUUAAAUGUGAAUGAACUGCAGAGCUUUAAGAUGUAACAAAAAAAGAGACAUUUUGUUAACACAUCGCCCCACUUACUAGAGCUAUGUCCAAUUUCAACCAAGCAAAGCAAUUUUAACGAACAGGCAUUGGUUUCAACUGCUAAUGCAGGGAUAGAAUUAAUCACUGUCCUGUUUUGCGAUCAUCUUCCCAGUGUAUUACAUUGAGCACCAAAACUGGAAAUACAUUUACUAAAACUGUCUGUGCUUGUUCUUCACUAAGUGUACUGUUCACAAUGUUAUGCCCAUGAAUGUAUGUGUCUGCGUUUAAAAGAAAAGUGUAUAAAAUGUAAUUUAUAUAUUUAUGUUUCGGUGGGAUACCAAUAGUGUUGAUCAGUUUUUUGGUUUUCUUUUUCUUUUGGGGGUGGUUAUCUAAAAUAUCUAAUGAAAAAAGAAUUCAUAUAUAUCUAUUAAAUUUAUGUAGAUGAAAAAUGUUAUGUGACCCACUAAGACAUUGUGCAGGUUUGAAAGGAUGCCAAAGUCACUUAAGUGGAAUACUGAAUGAGCAAAUUUUUCAACUAAGGUUGCACUGGCAAUAUAGGGAUUAAUUUAAAUCACUCACCUGGGCCAGAUCUUCAGAUAGUUUAAUCUGGUGUAGCCCCAUCGAUUAUAAUGGUGCGGUGUGUGUACACCACCUGAGUAUAUUUAAUC